Molecule: non-coding RNA, 33 nt
Submitted as: unclassified sequences
Source: Rfam
AAAGCGGUGUCCGAAAAGCUAACAGAGUAGGAA